CUUUUCGAGGUAGGAGUCGACUCCUGUGAGGUAUGGUGCUGGGUGCAGAUGCAGUGUGGCUCUGGAUAGCACCUUAUGGACAGUUGUGUCCCCAAGGAAGGAUGAGAAUAGCUACUGAAGUCCUAAAGAGCAAGCCUAACUCAAGCCAUUGGCACACAGGCAUUAGACAGAAAGCUGGAAGUUGAAAUGGUGGAGUCCAACUUGCCUGGACCAGCUUAAUGGUUCUGCUCCUGGUAACGUUUUUAUCCAUGGAUGACUUGCUUGGGUAAGGACAUGAAGACAGUUCCUGUCAUACCUUUUAAAGGGUUUUUAAUGACCACAACAAGCAAGCAUGCAGCUUACUGCUUGAAAGGGUCUUGCCUCACCCAAGCUAGAGUGCAGUGGCCUUUGAAGCUUACUACAGCCUCAAACUUCUGGGCUCAAGUGAUCCUCAGCCUCCCAGUGGUCUUUGUAGACUGCCUGAUGGAGUCUCAUGGCACAAGAAGAUUAAAACAGUGUCUCCAAUUUUAAUAAAUUUUUGCAAUCCA
This 527-nucleotide long non-coding RNA is filed under the name Homo sapiens (human). RNAcentral's name for it is "growth arrest specific 5, transcript variant 9 (GAS5)". Lineage: Eukaryota; Metazoa; Chordata; Mammalia; Primates; Hominidae. The record is from RNAcentral.